Non-coding RNA from Danio rerio (zebrafish), 498 nucleotides. Lineage: Eukaryota; Metazoa; Chordata; Actinopteri; Cypriniformes; Danionidae. The record is from RefSeq and is a predicted model, not a curated record.
AAGAAGAGAGAGGCUGAGGGAGCCAGAGCUGCGGGAGUGUUGGCUCCACUGGCUCCUCUCCGCGGUCUCUCUGACUCUGCUGUUGCUCCUCUCCGUGCUCCUCUGGGUCUGUCCUCUGGCCUGCAGCCAAUCAGAGCAGCUAUUGGGGCUCCCGUGUUAAGUGCCGCUGCUGUCAGGAGUGUUCAAGAUGAGGAAGAGGAGGACAUUUCAGAGGAAGAGAGGCCUCAGGAUUCAGCCGGAUUGCUGAAGAAUCUCCAUCUGGAUCUGGAUGCUCUCGGAGCUGGACUGCAGUAUGAGGACAGUGAGAUCAGUGGGACGGUUCCACCUGAAGAAAGAACAGAACCUGAACUGCAGGAUUUGGCCUUAUCGAGGGAUCACAGCGCAGAGCCGCCUUCAGAGGUGCACCAGUGUCCGUCUGUCUGUCUGCACUGCAAACACUGCUGUUCUUACUCUCGUUACUGAUCCAAAUGUCCAAAAACUCUUAAAUCAGCCAGCAUU